Long non-coding RNA from Lolium rigidum, 2384 nucleotides. RefSeq lists it as uncharacterized. The record is from RefSeq and is a predicted model, not a curated record. NCBI's taxonomy places the organism in Eukaryota, Viridiplantae, Streptophyta, Magnoliopsida, Poales, Poaceae. The transcript has 4 exons.
CGAGCGGACGCAGAUGGAGUGGUCCCUGUGGCGGGGGUCCAUACGACCACAUCAGCCAGGCCCCAUGACAGGCUGCUCCCUUGCUCCAUGUUGUGGGCAUCCCGUGGACUUCCGGUUCACACAAAGGGUUGUACUCGACCACUUCUAGGUUGUCGGUGCCGGAGGACUACUACAGAGGCAAGGACAUGGCCGAUUGGCUCGUUUGCCUUAUGCUUGCUUCCAGUUUCUCUCCCUCCCGCGCCGGAGUCGUUGAGAUUUUGUGCAAGUUGGCAGACAUGGAUUUUAUAGAUGAUGCAGGUAGUUCAUCCACUCCUGGAUAUUAGGAGGACACCUAAAAAACCUCAGUAUACUAAGGCACCAGAGCUUCCAUUGAUAUUACUACUUUACCCAUUUGAUAAACUCAGCUAUGUGUGUUCAUCAGGUAGUUAAUUCGCUCCAGGAUUUUACAAAGCCUCCUACAAAAAACUCAGUAUACUAUGGCACCAGAGUUUCAUUGAUUUUACUAAUUUACCUAUUUGAUAAAGUCAGAUCCAGCAGGUAUGUACUUUGAUAUCUCCGCGCUGAAUGAUGCAUCCAUGGGGGAUUUCAGCUUGCCAAAUACAUCAGCAAGUUGUUCUAGCCAUGACAUUGUAGUUAGCCCAGAACUACCAGAAAUGGCUUAACUCAAUUAUAAAUAAUAUCUACGUUACCAUAGAAAUGAGCCAUACGUUUAUAUGAUGUUGCAGAUCUUCUUGACAAAUUUGGUAGAAGAAGUAUAAAAACUGCCUUCUCACAACUUUUAGUUGUCCUCAACCACCUAUUUCCUAUGCUCCUGUUAUUAUUACUCUUUUUAGCAUAGAUAGAUAAAUGAGCAAGGGAACAUUUAGUUUGGCUUCGAAGGGAUCCAUUAGAGGCUGCGACAAUGCAAACUUUUAUUUUAUCUAAGGAAAAAAAUGCGGAUCAAUGAUUCUUUGCAUCAUAGGUGUUGCUGCUUCAUGAGAUCAACAUUGACAUGGUUCCACAAUUACAAAUAAUGAUUUUGAGAAAUCUGCAUUGUUUGUGUUCCGUGUGCUAUUUAGAUGCUGAGUUAGGUUCUCUUCAUUUUGGUGGAAAAAAUGUUGUUUUGGGAGGUGAUUUCUAGCAAGUGUUGCCUGUUGUAGAAAGGAGCAGCAUAGCUGAAGUCGUCGACUCUUUGCUUAUUAGGUCCCUAUACCAGCAUGUGAUUGUGCUUAGGCUGCCAUAAACACGAGGUUGUCUAAUCAUGCGCUAUCAGAUGAGGAGCAGGCUGGUUCGGAAGAAUUUGCACAGUGGAUUCUUCAUGUUGGUGAGGGAGCAGUACCCAUGGAUAUACGAGAGGGGUAAGCUAGCCCUUCUUGGAUCUCUUUGCCACUUGAUAUAACACAUCGGCCUUUUUCUGAUCAUGUCUUUCUGAGAUGUAUUCCGAUGCAUCUAGUUGGCAUAGCGUGCUCCUACUAAUAAGGUUGCCGGCUGUCUUCUAUCGGUACCUUGAGAAGAAAUAGUUUUCGAAAGUUGUGAUAGUAUGCAAUGACCAUUGACAAAAUUUCAUGGUAAUGCUCUUAACAAGGUUGGCAAUUACUUGCAAAGCCGGCUUUCUCACACGGCCAUUUUUAUGUUGCAAUCUCAAGAGUAACAUUAAGGGAGGGAUUGAAAGUGUUAGCGCUCGAUGAAUCUGGUGAAGCGACCAAGUAAUAUAGUAUACUGAGAAGUGCUUGGUCAUCUCUAGGCGUUGUUAUACACGUGUUUCCAUGUACUACAUUUUUCUGCACUGUCGCAUUUUUUGGUGGAUGUUCGUUUUCUUAUGCUCUUCCAUUCUCUGUAUGUAGAUUAAUUAUUAUUACUUGGACCUGCUGGCUAAUGCUUUUGUUCAUUUUGCUUUUGUUCUCAGGGAUGAAUGCGUAUCUUUUAGUAACUGCUUAUAAGUGCACCGCAUGGUGUACCACUACUGAAACUAUACCAAAAACACUGGAAAUUAAGGUCCUGCAAUUGCACUUAGCUGAUCUAUCCUGGACAUAUAUCCAGACAAAGUGCAAAUGCGUGGUGCUCCAUCUAUUUCUAUAUGUUGUCGCCAUGAUGGAACCCUUUCUGUUUUGGUACUGCUAAGUAAUUGCAGGCGCAAGUUUAGAAGUUGUGUACAAACCUCAGGAGCUAAAGUCGCUUCAUGCAUUUGGUUUAAAUACAAGAAGAGUGGCCAUGGCCAGUUCUUAAAUUUUUUGUAUGUUUUCUAGCGAUAUAAGGAGCAUACGACCAACACUUAGAUUUGUUACAUUUUCAAGCAAUAAGCUGAGAACUGCUUCGUCUGACUGUUUAUUAUGUGAUGUAUGUUAUCUUGCAUAUCUGUAUUGUACAAACAUGUAAAAGGUAGUUUUUUAUGCUUCCUGUUUUUA